This 855-nucleotide ribosomal RNA is filed under the name Triticum aestivum (bread wheat). RNAcentral describes it as "partial small subunit ribosomal RNA". Lineage: Eukaryota; Viridiplantae; Streptophyta; Magnoliopsida; Poales; Poaceae. The record is from RNAcentral.
AUGGUAAGGGAACAUUUGCAGCUUCAUACUGAUCUUGGCAGUGCUCACAAGAGGAGAGUGCGACCUAAUGCAGCAGACAGCAAGGGAUUCAAGAGCAAAAUCUGGCUAGGCUUUGGCAUCCCACUGGUAAAAAGUAACCUAACUGGGAACAAGCCGCUGAUGUUUAGUACUAACCCUGCAAAGGAUUUGCGAGUGUUGCGGCCAGAACACCACAUCCCUAUUCUAUGCAUGUCUAGUCGUCAGCUCCCAUGUGACAUGAAGUCUGUUAUUCAACAUGUGAAGAUAGUGGAGAUUUCAUUGAAGUUGAUUCAGGUUGGAGUCAUUCCCUUGCUUGGCUGUAACUCUCAUAGUGGCCGUCACGAACAGUUAUGGGAUCCUGGAGGCAACACUUCAUUGGUGUGGCUCUACCAAGGUAUAUUGAUUGGUGGUCGGCAUUCAGUGGAUGCAAUUGAGUUCCCUUCUAGUUGUGAGGCAGCUCCUUUUCAAGGAGAGAGGUGUAUUAUGGUUCCCGCUUUCGUCGCCCACCACUACUACAUCACCGCCAUCCUCGACAAGGUUCAUUUCGUCCACGCAUACUACGAAGUUCCAGUCAGCACCGGCCAUAACAUCCUCAAGGACUACUUUGACUUCGACCAAGUCUAUGUCAACAAGGACUACUACCUCGACACACCAGAGUCUUCAACCUCGUUCACGUCUACCUCGACCACUGCUACUUUUGUGAAGGCUACCACCACCAAUCUAACAGCGCCUUGGGACCCCGACAGAAAUUUUUCGGCGUCGGCUUGGGGUCAAGCCGAGUUUCAAAGAGUGAGGAAUGUCACGAGAACAACUACAAUAUUACAUCGGGCACUUUAG